RNAcentral lists this ribosomal RNA (468 nucleotides) under uncultured bacterium. RNAcentral describes it as "partial 16S ribosomal RNA". It matches the Rfam family "Bacterial small subunit ribosomal RNA", at positions 28 to 507 of the family's 1533-position model. The record is from RNAcentral.
GACGAACGCUGGCGGUGGGCUUAACACAUGCAAGUCGAACGGCAGCGCCCUGCGUUCGUGGUCUUCCCGGUUGGCGAUGGCGGGAGGGAGAGGUAAGCAUCGGGCUCUUGUCUUUCGGAUAGGUUCACGAAACGGGGGUUAAUAUCGUAUAGCAUCUCCUGUACCGUUGUAGGGGUGGGAUCUUCUAGGCGUGUGGGGAUGGAUGCGCGGCUUAUCAGCUUGUUGGUUGGGUAGUGGCUUACCCAGGCUUUGAAGGGUAGCCGGCCUGUGAGGGUGACCGGCCACAUUGGGCCUGAGAUACGGCCCAGACUCCUACGGGAGGCAGCAGUGGGGAAUAUUGCACAAUGGGCGGAAGCCUGAUGCAGCAACGCCGCGUGCGGGAUGACGGCCUUCGGGUUGUAAACCGCUUUCGCCUGUGACGAAGCGUGAGUGACGGUAAUGGGUAAAGAAGCACCGGCUAACUACGUG